Molecule: long non-coding RNA, 570 nt
Filed under: Pan troglodytes (chimpanzee)
Lineage: Eukaryota; Metazoa; Chordata; Mammalia; Primates; Hominidae
Description: long non-coding RNA NONPTRT017166
Source: RNAcentral
AUUUAUUCUGUUUACAGAUGCCACUUAGUUACACUGUUUUUUUUUUUUCAGUCUCAUCUGGGUUGGAUCCAAAGACAUUCAGAGGCAUGGUGAGAGGCAAAGCAUCAGACAUCUCAUUGGUGGCAGGUACUUCCUGACUACUGUACCACCUGCCGUAUCCUUCCCCACCUCAUCACCCCCAAAGCCAUUUACUGCCAAAUGCUACAGUAAAAACCCAAUGCAUUUACAUAAAAUAAUGCCUAACUGCAUAUUUACAUUUUUUAGAAAAAAAAUCCCAUUUAAGCUCUUCUAGGAAGUUAUGGCAGGAAAGGUAAGGACCAAGGCUAUGAGCAAGAUGAGACCUUCCUUUUAUACCCUGCUGAGAAUCUCAGGUGGACAACGUGACUGCAUGAGUGUUGAAAGGCAGCUUGCCGGCUUAGUUAUCACCUUGCAGAGGUAGCUAUGCACUACACAGCCACACUGCCCAAAGCGCGCUCCUAAGAACACUGGUCCUACAAAGGGCUCCUUGUAAGGGAACUUUAGGAAUCACAAGUAUUUAGAAAAUACUAUACACUAUCAUUUCCUUCCUAG